This 497-nucleotide ribosomal RNA is filed under the name uncultured bacterium. RNAcentral's name for it is "partial 16S ribosomal RNA". It matches the Rfam family "Bacterial small subunit ribosomal RNA", at positions 28 to 507 of the family's 1533-position model. The record is from RNAcentral.
GAUGAACGCUGGCGGCGUGCCUAAUACAUGCAAGUCGAGCGAACGGACGAGAAGCUUGCUUCUCUGAUGUUAGCGGCGGACGGGUGAGUAACACGUGGAUAACCUACCUAUAAGACUGGGAUAACUUCGGGAAACCGGAGCUAAUACCGGAUAAUAUUUUGAACCGCAUGGUUCAAAAGUGAAAGACGGUCUUGCUGUCACUUAUAGAUGGAUCCGCGCUGCAUUAGCUAGUUGGUAAGGUAACGGCUUACCAAGGCAACGAUGCAUAGCCGACCUGAGAGGGUGAUCGGCCACACUGGAACUGAGACACGGUCCAGACUCCUACGGGAGGCAGCAGUAGGGAAUCUUCCGCAAUGGGCGAAAGACUGACGGAGCAACGCCGCGUGAGUGAUGAAGGUCUUCGGAUCGUAAAACUCUGUUAUUAGGGAAGAACAUAUGUGUAAGUAACUGUGCACAUCUUGACGGUGCCUAAUCAGAAAGCCACGGCUAACUACGUG